Long non-coding RNA from Vidua chalybeata, 990 nucleotides. RefSeq lists it as uncharacterized. The record is from RefSeq and is a predicted model, not a curated record. Lineage: Eukaryota; Metazoa; Chordata; Aves; Passeriformes; Viduidae. The transcript is spliced from 3 exons.
UGCCGCAGCCAGGGCCUCACGCCUUCCCUGAGUGCCGCCGCCUCGUGCUCUAACAAACGUCCCGUGCCGCAGCCAGGGCCUCACGCCUUCCCUGAGUGCCGCCGCCUCGUGCUUGUCCUGUCCUUGUGAGGCCACAGUGCCCAGAGGGCAAAUCGCACAGCUGUGGUGCUACUGCCGCCAGGCAUUCUUGGUCUCCUGUUGCUUCUGGGGCCUGGAUUGCCUCCAGUCAGCAAGGAUUGUUCCCAAACGUCAUCCCCUGGCUCUGGAACUCGAUGAAGUUGUGUUCCUUGAAGUCCAGGACAGGAAAAACCAUUUAAGUGGGCCCCGUGAUGUCAGAAGCUUUGGUGUUUGAGCAGCCAAAGCCAAGAGGCUCUUGCCCCGGAGGUCUGCAGUGGAGGGCCCUGGUCCUGCCCACGCUGUGGGGAGGCUAGUACUUGAGAAGCACUUAUGGAGCACUUUCGCUGCUCAAGAAAUUCUAGGAAGAACAAGCUGCCUAGCUGCUCAUUUCAGAGGCCAGAGAUACUCUCUGGCAGUGGCACAAGAGGAGGACAACAAACAGGACAAUACCUUCAGUUGAUGAUUUUCAGGUAGACCUUAGAGCUGAAAUAGAAAAUGGGAUGAUUGUGUUGUUGGAAAUUUCCAUUUGAGAUGUACGAUUCAUAGCAAAUUCCCUUGGGGCCCACAAGUGGAGUGAAACAGUGCUGAGAUUAAGGCUGGCAAAUUUGCCUCUGUUUUGAAGUCUUUGCACUUUUUAUCAAACAGUUUCAUUAUGAUGGUCUGAAGAAAACACUAUAUAGUAGAGCUUUCUUACCUUCCCUUUUAAGUCCUCUAGAGUGAGGACAAACUGAAUUGUAUCUUAGAUUCAGCUUUUUUAUAUACUUUGCUGUUAAAAAGAUCAAAUACAGAUUUCCAGGACUAUAAAUCAGCACAACUCCCCAGCAGCCAGUGGUGACAUAAAUCAAGUAGCAGAGAGGAGAUGUGGGAGAAAUG